This is a long non-coding RNA of Paramormyrops kingsleyae, 5463 nucleotides long. RefSeq lists it as uncharacterized. The record is from RefSeq and is a predicted model, not a curated record. Lineage: Eukaryota; Metazoa; Chordata; Actinopteri; Osteoglossiformes; Mormyridae.
UUACUAUUUUAGCUUAUUACCUAUGCACGCUAACAUGUUUCCUACUAAGACUCAAAAGGUUAUUUUGUCACAAAUUGCAGCCUGCAUUUGUUCCUUUAAAAAAUGUCCCCCCAAAACCUUCCAGUAUCUCAUCGGUUGUCUCACAGGCGACCCCGGAUCCCACAACGUUUUUCCCACUAAUUAAAAUGUUGGCCCUCCUAUCCAUGAACCACUUGCAAAUGGCAUGCAAACAGCUUCAAUUUCAAAGUGAAGGACCAGCUGUGUGCUAAGACACUUGGCCAUUUUUGAAGACCUAAUGCUUGGGCUUUUGAAAUUAAUGCGGUCCCGAGAAAUAGAAAAAAAAGUACAGAAAAAGCCUCCCGUUUGAUAAGCAGCAGAUGUUCUCCUGGAUAUUCCGUAGUUGCUGACAGUUUCUGAUAUGUCGCAGCUUGCAUACUGUAUAUACUUGAUAUCAUGCAUAGGCGAGAUAUGAAACAUACACCUUUUGGGCUGUGAAGUUUCUCAGAGCUGACUUACCGAAGCCAGUAUCCAUUCAUGUCCUGAAGCUGGAAUCCCAGUUUUUCAUCAGCAAGAUUUUAGAGUCAUAGUUUUUCCCUGCUUUCUUGUGGGCUUAUUUUUGUGGGAAACUGAUCAUCAUUCUUAUGGAACUUCCAUACACAACUGGUGUUAUUAAUUUAAUAUAUGUAUACCAUUUUAUAUUAUAAAAUGUAAAUUUUUAUCAGUUGUAUCUGUGUUUGGAGAUUUAAAUGUUAAUUUGAGUAUCUAAUCCAUAUCUAGAGGAGCUGUUUUUUGUACAUUUAUAAUUGUAGGCAGGGCUACUGUACAUUCUUAAAUGCACGUUGUACAAUUUUGUUUUGUUCUAAUCACUGUCAUUGUUGAAAUGCUUGUGUGAAUUGUAGUUCAUCAUUUUUACAUUUUUUUAAUAUCCUCUUUUCAAAAAAAAAAACAAAAGGUGCUUUGAUACCAUUGUUGGAAGGUAAAGAACUUUAAGGUAGGAGGAAGAUACCAGUAGAAUGCUGAUGCUGAUUGCUGAUAUUAUUGUGGAUGCUGCUGUUGAAUUUGCAUUCAUUUUCACCAUCCCCCCAUCUGAUAUUUCACCUAAGAGCGGUGCUCAGCUGCUGGAAUCAUGUUUGGGGUCAGAAUGCUUGAGACAACAUUAUUAAAUGGCUCUCAUACAGUUCCUAUAAACAAACCACUGGGCAGGACCCUUAGACCUGGCCAAUAAAGUUCGGUGGUGGGCUGAGGCUGGGCCAGGGUCAGGUAGGGUCUGUUUGGACGGGUUAUUUAUGGACAGCAGCCGUUCCCUGGGCCACAGUUGCUAAGGCCCGUCUGGAGUUCUGUCCUACCCUGGGGGAAAGGAAGUUGGUCAUCAGGUCAAAGCCUGAUGGGAUUGAUCAGCCAACAGGUGGGCAUUACAGAGUCUCUGGAAACAACCCCAGACUGUUCACACCUGUCUCUGCUGUCAAUCAGCGCCGCCUUAUACUCACGCUGCACGGCGGAAAGUAAAACUCACCCAAACCUCUAGGAAAAAAAUCAUAAAAGAUCUCAUUAAAAUAUAUGCUUCUGGAAGCCCAUAAAACAACAAUUGUUGAUAUAAUUUUCCUGAUAGGACGUCUGCCAUAGUAUCUGUGAGUUGUUUAUUGCCUUAUAUGUUUUCUGUGCUGGGUAGGACUGGUGAUUGAAGUGGUCAGUCGAGUGCUGCGUAACUCGAUCCCUUAAUCUAUUCUUGUAUUCAAGAACACUGGUUAGAGUCUAUAUAUUGCCCCACAGGGAACGGUUUCAAAUGACAUACCGUUCCGUUUAAAUUUACAUUUGCAAGACGUUUAUUACUUUUCUGUGUGUGCAUAAAUAGUUCUUGGGACUCACAAUGCUGAGGUGUUUCUGCAUUCCUCUGAUAUAGCAGGUUAAUAAUCGAAAAGGGACUGAUUUGUGCUCUUUGAUCCUAAGCCGAGCUUCACCCAUUGAUCACAUGCUUGUUUCUGCACAGUCAUUUGCCGUCAGGCACCUGUAGAGUCAUUGAUGACUGCCUGUUUCAUGCAGAAAUCAUUAGUCACAGUCAUAUUAUAAUGCCAUCUUUAACCCAGUUAGAUUAAUUAUUUAUAUAAGCCAUUUAACUAAUUUCUUUGUCUCAACAUUGCUCAGUGUAAAUAAGUUUUGAUUAUUAAGAAUGAAUAUGUGAAACUGACAACUAAUGCAGCAAGAGCUGUUAAUACUAUUAUUAUUAAUAUGGUCAUAAUACAGCCAUCUUUCAAAUACGUUUUCCGUGUUUUCAGUCUUAGUGUGGAUACCCAAGUUAUAAAUACAAUUUGAACCCCCAGCCCUGGAAUUUUACAUUCUAAAUGAUAGAAUUUAAUAUUAUAGAGCAUAUUUAUGUAGCGGUAUGCCAAUGGAGGGCCACGGCUUUGGCCUCUGGAGUCUGUGUCCCCUAAGAGAUCUCUCCUCUUCUAUUUUGUCCACGUCAUUGCUGUAAAAUAAAAUAGCCAAUGGUAAUCCCCCCAGAUACAGUCCAAGAUUCAUUUCGGUGCCACCUGGCAGCCCGUGCUGGAUUAAGCGGCCAUAGGCGUAAUGUGCCCCCCCCCCCCCAUCCUUGUGUCCCCAAACAACUGGCUCCCCAUUGAAACAAUGAGCUUAUUGGCUGCUUUCAACGAUGCGCUUAAAUGUUCCUUUCUGCUGGAAUGUAGAGCUGCGUGCUGAGUGUGGUGCUGGAAUAUCGGAGCACAGCGGCUCCAUUGGGGGGGUCAGUGGAAGUUAGCUUUGGGUUGUGGGGGGAGAGGGGUGGACCAGUUGUAUGAAAUCUUAUUCUUUUCAAACAGGCAUCAAACAGGCACAAAUUAUAAAAGCCCAGCUGUCGAGCCUGAUGAAGGCCACGAGCGCCAGGAAAAGUAAAUAUCCGCGAUAGAAGACAGUCACCACAAACCCUGAAGUAGAGACUGUGGUUCUGGGCUCCAGCUCCUUAAGAAAAUUUAUCAGUAUCAAAAAAUUAUGAAAUUCAUUCUUGUUUGUUUUGUCUGUAAAUUACGGUUUGAAAAGGUAGAAAAGGACUGUCGACAAGCUAAUCCACACUGAAAUUAGGGUUCUAUCCAGACAUCUCCUAUAUAAACACAACAAAAAUGUAUAAUUCUCAUUAUCUUGUUUCAUUGUAGGCAAUUCCAAAGAUGCCACCUAUAAAAUUUAAGCAGGAAUUAAAAACGCCAGUAUAUCAGUGCAAUUCCUAGCAGCAACUCACUGUGAGCAGUAUAGCUGAAAAUAAUACAGAUUUUCUGAUAUUGAAGUGCAGAUAUGGAUGAUAAAUUUAAUUAUUAAUAGGGUAACAUCUUUUUCCACCCCAAGCCUUGUAAAUUUAGCAUGAAAAUUAGCACCUGCCUAAAUUUGCAAGUUAGUAUACACUGCUAUACCAUUUUCUUUUGGCAGCCUGCUUGCUAAAAACAAAAAUACCAUGGUAUUAACAGAAUUUUCAAAGAGUAUAUAUAAAAUAUCAAGUUGUUUUCUUUGUAGCACCUUAAUACUAUGUGUGUUUCAGCCUGAAACACCUCAAUCCGUUACUCAGGAUGAAGCCCACUGUUGUACUGGCCUGAAAACAAAAGAAAACCCAAAAGCGGUUCCAUUAAUGAAGGUGGAGGAGCUGCGCUUCACCUCCAUGCUGCUUCCCCACACUUCCCCAAAGAGGUCGUCCAUGCAGGCUCCAUGGAGAGCCGCUCACUUUGUCUGCAGAUCUUCUUCUGUGUGGUACCGGGUGGCAAAGUGCAGGGCGGGUGUUGGGGGUGUGAGACGCGCGUGCCGGGUGGUUUCGGCCUUUAAAAGGCUCCUCAGGUCCGUCUGCAGUAGAGCUGUGCAGCAGCUGCCAUGGGAAUCUCCUGUAGCACCAGUACAAAAGGAGCCCCUGUCAUCCAGUGCCACAAAUAGUCAUACUUCAGUCACUCCGGGGCUUAGGGACACACUACAGCAAAGAGAAAUUAGUUCUCAGCAAAUUACUAUACAAAAUAAUCAAUUUUCUAUGAAGACUUAAACAAAUGCAUUUUGUAUUUUAUUUUGUUUGUUUUCAAAUGUAUUAAUCAAAAGAAUAGACACAAUACAGUGCAAGGGAUGAGACGUUUCUCCUUUGGUCCUGCAGAGGGCGCUGCCAUCACUGUUUAACUUGCUGUGAUUCUGUGUUUCAAGGGCUAUGAGGGUUUCUGGGUUUCUCUAGUUGCAGGCAGGCCGGCUGGCUGGCACCCUAAAAACUAGCCUCUUCUUCCAGGAGACAGCUGUCCUCUCUGUGAUGCUAUGGAUCGGCCAAUGGAGGAUGAGAGCUGGAAAGGGGGGCAGCCAAUGAGCUGGCUGCUGUCAGAUGCUGGUUUUAUGGAGCCAGUUGGGCCCAGACAGUGUGCACCAUUCCAAGAACUAGUGUCAGGGUUGGGCGUUGCUUCCCGUUCGCACACUCUGCCACUUUCAGAUACGGACUCCAAGUUCACAGUGGAACAUUGAGGGAUGAAUUCUUUUCGCUUCUGUUCUGGCAAUGAUUUAAUUUCACAGCAGCAAUGCAGUGCUGUCCUGACCAUGGCCUUGGUGCAGGUGUGUCUGGUGGAACAGCUAUGAUGCUGACUUGUGAAGUGAAGCCACUGGAUGGCAGAACCAGUCCAACUGUGACAGACUGCAGGAUUGCCAUGAGCACAGAGCAUAUUCCCUGUCACCGGACUGAGCUGCUAUGCCCCUCUCCUGAUGCACGCAGCCUUCUGAGGUUGUGACGACCUGCAGUCGGCUGCUAGAUCUCAAGAGCUUCCUCUGCAGUGACCCUCCCAUCCAAGAGCUCAAGCAGUGUGACACUUUGUCCAAGUUUGUCAUGCUGAUAAAUAGUGGAGCAUUCUGCCCUUUGUCGCAUUGCAUUUUUCAUUUACUCAUAUGUUACGGCUUCCAGUGCCCUCCAGUGCCGGGGCUGUGGGUGUGAAUCUCCAAAUCCAUUCCACCAUUUGAUCGGAAGACUGCAGCGGAAAUGGCUGAUGUGACGCAGGGCUAAUACUAUGACGAGUGAAUCAAAGCCAUUUCUUCCACUGAGAGCGCGUCCUUAUACCAAAACUGAUGGACUCGUUAAAGAGGACUUACAAUUUAACGGACAAACAAGCUAUAUUUGCCAUUUGUACAAGUACAGGUACAUUGGAAUGCUUCAUUCUGCCGACCCCAUCUAGCUCUCCAUAGAUUGGGGGUCACAGCACAAUUUAUUCAUAGCAUUAGAAGAACCUCUAAAAAUGGAGGCUGACUUGUUAAGUGUGGCCCUGAAUGAGGUCAUCCGGUGGUAACGGUGCCAUGCCAGGGUACGGGAGCAGAGUGGCCAGCCCCCCCCCAUGGCACUUCCAGUGUGUGUGUGUGUGGAUUAUGUUUAUAUUACAUUGUGGGGACCAAAUGCCCCCAACAAUGUAAUAGAAAGGUCCUCAAUAUGAUUUGUGAAUGUGUUAAAAAAAAUAAUAAAAAUGCCAGAAGUCUCGCAUU